This 497-nucleotide ribosomal RNA is filed under the name uncultured bacterium. RNAcentral's name for it is "partial 16S ribosomal RNA". It matches the Rfam family "Bacterial small subunit ribosomal RNA", at positions 28 to 507 of the family's 1533-position model. The record is from RNAcentral.
GAUGAACGCUGGCGGCGUGCCUAAUACAUGCAAGUCGAGCGAACAGACGAGGAGCUUGCUCCUCUGACGUUAGCGGCGGACGGGUGAGUAACACGUGGAUAACCUACCUAUAAGACUGGGAUAACUUCGGGAAACCGGAGCUAAUACCGGAUAAUAUCUUGAACCGCAUGGUUCAAUAGUGAAAGACGGUUUUGCUGUCACUUAUAGAUGGAUCCGCGCGGCAUUAGCAAGUUGGUAAGGUAACGGCUUACCAAGGCAACGAUGCGUGGCCGACCGGGGAGGUGGUCCGGCCACACGGGAACGGAGCCACGGUCCAGACUCCUACGGGAGGCACCAUUAGGGAAUUUUCCGCAAUGGGCGAAGGCCUGACGGAGCAACGCCGCGUGAGUGAUGAAGUUCUUCGGAUGUUAAAACUCUGUUAUUAGGGAAAAACAAAUGUGUAAGUAACUAUGCACGUCGUGACGGUACCUAAUCAGAAAGCCACGGCUAACUACGUG